This is a long non-coding RNA of Uranotaenia lowii, 1046 nucleotides long. RefSeq lists it as uncharacterized. The record is from RefSeq and is a predicted model, not a curated record. The transcript has 4 exons. NCBI's taxonomy places the organism in Eukaryota, Metazoa, Arthropoda, Insecta, Diptera, Culicidae.
UAUCGGUCGUGAUUUUUGUGCGUGGAAAACGUUUGUUUUCAAUUAAGAUUUCUUCGAAUCUGCGCGCAGAGACAAUUAGUUUCGGUUCCGGUGCGUUUACCACCGGUUAUUGAAAGUGACGGCAAAACUGAUCCGAUCUGUUCGCUACCGGGAGGACAACAAUUACUUUUCGUGUGAGGUGAAUUCUUGCCCUUUUCUACCGGAACCUUAUUUCAAGUUGUCCCAUUCCCGGGCCAGGACCGAUAAAUCGGGAAGAUGAACGACAAAGAGGAAUAAAGUAUGGCAAGAGGCGGACUGACAUAUGUACAUUUUGGUAUUUUUUCCGAUAUGAAAAACUACCGUCAUGGCACCGAGAUGCUAACCAGAUUACGCUGGAUAUUAUCAAUAAAAAAAAAACCACGCCACGGUAUACAUAACAGCCCGGUAUUGGAAAAUGGUCCAUCUUCCGGCCCAUACCCAACACGAAGAUGAAUGCAGGGAAAGUGUUCCGAUUCGCCUCAAAUCUCGGGUGACGGUAAAGGUGUUCAGAUUGCUCCUGGGAAAAAAUUAUCGUUCGAGGCGAAUGUGUGCCCUGAUUCCACAAAUACUACAUUUUCAAAUUGUUAAACACCCAGGCCAACCAGCAGUGCUGAGCCAACAGAAUGGAAAGUUAAACGACGCGGAGGAAUCAGGCGUGAUCAAUGUGGAGCGAAAAAUAUUCUGUUGAUUUUUCCUGAAAGCAGCAGCUCAUCAAAUUGCGAUGGUUAUACCAAUCGAAAAAAAAAGUACGAUUUCCAAAGCAGUGCGGCGAGGGAAGAAAAUCUGGGAAUAUGUUCCUUCAUUCCAAUUUUUACAAUUAAAUCUCCAACGUCCUAACACGAAGCAUCGAAUUGCUACUAUGCGAAGGAUUAACAUAGUCGCUUCCAAGUGUUUAAUGGGAUUUCAGUGGUGGAGAAAUUCCGAACAUCGUGGUUAUAAUAAAAGCCUUAUGAACGCGAUGAUGGAAGACAUAUUUUGAAACCCGCAGAGAAAUGCGAAUAAAAAUAAACAAGAAGAUAAAAAAUCAA